Molecule: ribosomal RNA, 484 nt
Filed under: uncultured bacterium
Lineage: Bacteria
Description: partial 16S ribosomal RNA
Rfam family: Bacterial small subunit ribosomal RNA
Source: RNAcentral
AUUGAACGCUGGCGGCAGGCCUAACACAUGCAAGUCGAGCGGAUGAAGGGAGCUUGCUCCUGGAUUCAGCGGCGGACGGGUGAGUAAUGCCUAGGAAUCUGCCUGGUAGUGGGGGAUAACGUCCGGAAACGGGCGCUAAUACCGCAUACGUCCUGAGGGAGAAAGUGGGGGAUCUUCGGACCUCACGCUAUCAGAUGAGCCUAGGUCGGAUUAGCUAGUUGGUGGGGUAAAGGCCUACCAAGGCGACGAUCCGUAACUGGUCUGAGAGGAUGAUCAGUCACACUGGAACUGAGACACGGUCCAGACUCCUACGGGAGGCAGCAGUGGGGAAUAUUGGACAAUGGGCGACAGCCUGAUCCAGCCAUGCCGCGUGUGUGAAGAAGGUCUUCGGAUUGUAAAGCACUUUAAGUUGGGAGGAAGGGCAGUAAGUUAAUACCUUGCUGUUUUGACGUUACCAAAAGAAUAAGCACCGGCUAACUUCGUG